UUUCUAUUCUCUCCGUCCGAAAAUACUUGUCAUCAAAAUGGAUAAAAAGAGAUGUAUCUAAAACUAAAAUACGUCUAGAUACAUUUCCUUUUAUCCAUUUUGAUGACAAGUAUUUCCGCACGGAGGGAGUAUUUG
Molecule: non-coding RNA, 135 nt
Organism: Triticum aestivum (bread wheat)
Lineage: Eukaryota; Viridiplantae; Streptophyta; Magnoliopsida; Poales; Poaceae
Source: Rfam